GACGAACGCUGGCGGCGUGCUUAUCACAUGCAAGUCGAACGGAAAGGCCCUGCUUGCAGGGUACUCGUGUGGCGAACGGGUGAGUAACACGUGGGUGAUCUGCCCUGCACUUCGGGAUAAGCCUGGGAAACUGGGUCUAAUACCGGAUAGGAGCCAUUUUUAGUGUGAUGGUUGGAAAGUUUUUUCGGUGUAGGAUGAGCUCGCGGCCUAUCAGCUUGUUGGUGGGGUAAUGGCCUACCAAGGCGGCGACGGGUAGCCGGCCUGAGAGGGUGGACGGCCACAUUGGGACUGAGAAACGGCCCAGACUCCUGCGGGAGGCAGAGGUGGGGAGUAUUGCACAAGGGGCGCAAGCCUGAUGCAGCGACGCCGCGUGGGGGAUGACGGCCUUCGGGUUGUAAACUCCUUUCGCUAGGGACGAAGCUUUUUGUGACGGUACCUGGAUAAGAAGCACCGGCUAACUACGUG
Molecule: ribosomal RNA, 465 nt
Filed under: uncultured bacterium
Lineage: Bacteria
Description: partial 16S ribosomal RNA
Rfam family: Bacterial small subunit ribosomal RNA
Source: RNAcentral